Non-coding RNA from Elaeis guineensis (African oil palm), 888 nucleotides. The record is from RefSeq and is a predicted model, not a curated record. Lineage: Eukaryota; Viridiplantae; Streptophyta; Magnoliopsida; Arecales; Arecaceae.
GAAAUUAUUUGACAUACCUGGAGUGCAUCUUCACCAUAGGCAGGCAGCAGUUGUUCAUUCUGAAGAUCUGCCUUCUCUUGCACUUUAAAGUCGUCUAAGGGGACAAUCCUUCCCUAAUGUUUUGAAAAUGUUCAGGCAGUCUCAGAGAAGAGUACAUUGAAGGAUACCGAUGACAUUGGUCUAAAUGGAUUUUCAUUAUUCUGGGACGGGCUUGUUCGCAUUGAUGUCAUUAAGAUUCUUCCAAGGACGCGUCUAACAUUCUAUGGGCCCAGAAAAUUGCAGAUUCAUAUGGUUCCGACUGUUGAAGCAAAUGAGUUUUACCAUGUAAUAUCACAAUCAGUUUUUAAGUUAUUUGGCUCUGUAUGGUUAAUUUGCUGUCUUUCUUUUCCCAGUAAAUUUAUUUCCUUAUCUAAUUCAAGUACAUGUUGUCUUCAAUUUAUGUGUUUAAUGUGUUGUGUUCUUUGUAAAGUUGUAUGCAUAUGUUUUUUGGUACAAUCUAGUUUGAUUAAAGUAACUGCUGAAACUGCGUCAGAUUUGGUGUUCCUCAAAAUGCAGAGUCCUUCAAACUACCGAGCUAUUAAUAUUUUUGCCUGACGUUCUGACGAUUUCAUGUUCCAUAAGGCAGUAAUUAAUGUACAAAAGGUGUUACUAGCAGGAAUUGUCAUACUUGUAGUUCCACUCUCUACAUGAAAACAUCGGAUUGAUUUUUAAGAAGUUUUAUAGAAAACUAAAUGAAUGUUAUGCAUUUAUCAAAUUAUCAAUUCACAAAAGGCCAGUGUGUGUGUGCGCGUGCAGGUGUGUGUGUGUGUGUGUGUGUUUUGGGGGUGGGAAGGGGUUGUGUAGGACACAGAUGAGCAUUUAUUAGGUCACAAUUUUUUUUUCUCUGUA